AUUGAACGCUGGCGGCAUGCCUUACACAUGCAAGUCAAACGGUAACAGGUCUUCGGAUGCUGACGAGUGGCGAACGGGUGAGUAAUACAUCGGAACGUGCCCGAUCGUGGGGGAUAACGAAGCGAAAGCUUUGCUAAUACCGCAUAAGAUCUAAGGAUGAAAGCAGGGGACCGCAAGGCCUUGCGCGAACGGAGCGGCCGAUGGCAGAUUAGGUAGUUGGUGGGAUAAAAGCUUACCAAGCCGACGAUCUGUAGCUGGUCUGAGAGGACGACCAGCCACACUGGGACUGAGACACGGCCCAGACUCCUACGGGAGGCAGCGGUGGGGAAUUUUGGACAAUGGGCGAAAGCCUGAUCCAGCCAUGCCGCGUGCAGGAUGAAGGCCUUCGGGUUGUAAACUGCUUUUGUACGGAACGAAAAGACUCUUUCUAAUAAAGAGGGUCCAUGACGGUACCGUAAGAAUAAGCACCGGCUAACUACGUGCCAGCAGCCGCCGUAA
Molecule: ribosomal RNA, 498 nt
Filed under: uncultured bacterium
Lineage: Bacteria
Description: partial 16S ribosomal RNA
Rfam family: Bacterial small subunit ribosomal RNA
Source: RNAcentral